Molecule: ribosomal RNA, 301 nt
Filed under: uncultured bacterium
Lineage: Bacteria
Description: partial 16S ribosomal RNA
Rfam family: Bacterial small subunit ribosomal RNA
Source: RNAcentral
CAGUAGCCGCGGUAAUACGUAGGGUCCGAGCGUUGUCCGGAAUUAUUGGGCGUAAAGGGCUCGUAGGCGGUUUGUCGCGUCGGGAGUGAAAACCAGCAGCUUAACUGCUGGCCUGCUUUCGAUACGGGCAGACUUGAGGCAUUCAGGGGAGAACGGAAUUCCUGGUGUAGCGGUGAAAUGCGCAGAUAUCAGGAGGAACACCGGUGGCGAAGGCGGUUCUCUGGGAAUGUUCUGACGCUGAGGAGCGAAAGUGUGGGGAGCGAACAGGAUUAGAUACCCCUGUAGUCCCUGUCUCUUAUAA